This is a long non-coding RNA of Gopherus flavomarginatus (Mexican gopher tortoise), 969 nucleotides long. RefSeq lists it as uncharacterized. The record is from RefSeq and is a predicted model, not a curated record. The transcript has 2 exons. NCBI's taxonomy places the organism in Eukaryota, Metazoa, Chordata, Testudines, Testudinidae.
UUAUAUAUAUAUAUAUAUAUAUAUAUAUAUAUAUAUAUAUAUAUAUAUAUAUAUAUAUAUAUAUAUAAAUAAACUGACUUUCUACCUAGCUUAGUUUCCAUGAUACUCUCCCAAGAAUCAAAAUGUGAAUUAAAAAUUCAUUUGCCAAGAGGCUUAGACUUUGAUCUGGUGCUGUUACAAAAGGGAUAUGCUUUGGCAGAUGCAGAAAGCACCACAAUAAAUGUAGAUAUUUAGUGUAUUUGUAGCAUGAUAUACUCAUCCUGAUCUUGCUCAACUGUUAGUGUACACAGAACCUAAACUUGGUGAGACUGGGUCUAUUUAAAUAUAGUAAGUGGCUGUAUAGUUUAAACCAUUGCAACUUCUGCUGUAGGUAGAGCGCUAGAUAUCCAUAGACCAUUUGGCAGGGGAGGGGAGAAGGGUGUCAGGGAUUGAUGUGGAUCCAAAUUUUAUAGCUAAAGCCCUGCAAAUCUACAGCCAGCUGCUUUAGAUCCAUGGAUCAAUCAGCUAUAGAUACAAAUUUUGCAUAUGCACAGGGCUCUAGCUAUGGGUGUUUAUUUUAGGACUAUCCCCCUGAAAGCUUGAAACUGCAUUACAUAGAUCCAGCAUGGGUGACCAUUGCACAAGUUUAAACUGUCAUUUUCAAUACUCUUCGUUGAAGUGUAGAUGAUGCUGCCACUCUGACCUACUCUUCCAGCAUGUGUAAUCAAGUACGCAAAACUUGAACAGGUCUGCAAGAUGAAGUAGCUGUAUCCUUUUUGUGAACAGAUAGGCCUGGAUAACUUAAAACAGACCUGGAGAGCUCUGUAACUUCUCUGGCUCAAAGAGAAACUGUCAGUCAAAUAAGAGAAUAUCACAUGACCCACAGAUGUAUACUUAGCUUAACUGAAUGAUAACCCUUUGAACAACAAAACACCAUCUACUUCCAGGGAUCUAAACCAAUAAAUGUUAGCUUCCACUACCCUUGUAAAA